CAUUUUAAGGUUAGGAAUUAGGAUUUAGGGUUUAAUAUUUUGCUGACGACGUUAAAAAUAUUUUUUUUUUGUAAUUACUACUACUUUUUUUUUAUCUUUUUAUUUUAAAAACAUAAUAUAACUUGACAAUAUUUUGUUUCCUUUUUUAAAACAUAUCGAAUAUGAAAUAACAAAAGGAUGAACCUCUAGAUUCACCAACCAAUAGGAUUGUCUUAUUUCAUAUUCGAUAUCUUUUAAAAAAAGAAACAAAAUAUUGUCAAAUUAUAUUAUGUUUUUAAAAUUAAAAGGUAAAAAGAAUUAAAUAAAAAAUAGUAGUAAUUACAAAAAAAAAUAUUUUUAACGUCGUCAGCUAAACAUUAAACCCUAAAUCCUAAUCCGUAAACCCUAAAUCCUAAACCUUUGGGUAAACCCUGACU
RNAcentral lists this long non-coding RNA (416 nucleotides) under Brassica napus (rape). Its description in RNAcentral is "long non-coding RNA (BNAP_LNC014146)". The record is from RNAcentral. Lineage: Eukaryota; Viridiplantae; Streptophyta; Magnoliopsida; Brassicales; Brassicaceae.